GGAGCUGUAGUUCAGUCGUAGAAUGUGACAUUCCAGUUUAUUUCGGAUUCGUCAAGGUCGUCCGUUCAAUCCGGGCCAGCUUCA
This is a non-coding RNA of Roridomyces roridus, 84 nucleotides long. The record is from the annotation of a GenBank genome assembly. NCBI's taxonomy places the organism in Eukaryota, Fungi, Basidiomycota, Agaricomycetes, Agaricales, Mycenaceae.